Molecule: transfer RNA, 72 nt
Filed under: Sus scrofa (pig)
Lineage: Eukaryota; Metazoa; Chordata; Mammalia; Artiodactyla; Suidae
Rfam family: tRNA
About the family: Transfer RNA (tRNA) molecules are approximately 80 nucleotides in length.
Source: Rfam by way of RNAcentral
UCCCUGGUGGCCUAGCGGUUAAGGACUGGCAUUGUCACUGCUGUGGUCCAAGUUCAAUCCCUGGCCCGGGAA